Molecule: ribosomal RNA, 425 nt
Filed under: uncultured bacterium
Lineage: Bacteria
Description: bacterial SSU rRNA
Rfam family: Bacterial small subunit ribosomal RNA
Source: RNAcentral
GUGGGGAAUAUUGGACAAUGGGCGCAAGCCUGAUCCAGCCAUGCCGCGUGAGUGAUGAAGGCCCUAGGGUUGUAAAGCUCUUUCACCGAUGAAGAUAAUGACGGUAGUCGGAGAAGAAGCCCCGGCUAACUUCGUGCCAGCAGCCGCGGUAAUACGAAGGGGGCUAGCGUUGUUCGGAAUUACUGGGCGUAAAGCGCACGUAGGCGGAUAUUUAAGUCAGGGGUGAAAUCCCGGGGCUCAACCCCGGAACUGCCUUUGAUACUGGGUAUCUCGAGUAUGGAAGAGGUGAGUGGAAUUACGAGUGUAGAGGUGAAAUUCGUAGAUAUUCGGAGGAACACCAGUGGCGAAGGCGUCUCACUGGUCCAUUACUGACGCUGAGGUGCGAAAGCGUGGGGAGCAAACAGGAUUAGAUACCCGAGUAGUCC